CGCAAGCUUGUUAUUUGGGGGUUUGUGAAAUGUCAUCCUCCAUCCUAAACAUCACUUUGCUUCCAGCAUUUAUAAUGGUGUUGAAUAUACAAAAAGUGUUUUUAAUUUAUAAGAGGUGGGUCACACUCAGAAGCUUUCUAUGUAAAAGGGAUCACCAGUACAAAUGGUUGAGAACCACUGGUGUAGUGAUAGUUCUUGCUUGCCUUUAUUAGCUUGCAGAGGAAUUGUCCAGGAGUCUCAGCUGGAGAAGAAGCUGGCAGAAGUGGACCUGAACUGCCUGGACAUCCUUCUAAGGAGACAUGAACAGUCCUCAGCUUUCUGCAUUCUGGAUAACUGGCUAUGAUUUGCAGAGGAAUCGUCCAGGAGCCCCACCCGGAUGAGAAUGUCAGAAGUGGACCUGAGUAGUCUGGACAUCCUUCUAAGGAAACAAGAAUAGAACCAAGCAAAAAGACGUUACAUGUCAAAGUCUACUGCCCUUAUGAAUGAGAGUGACGAGACUGCGAGCGUUGUUGGUGCCAGGCAGGAGCCGUCCAUCUGGGAGCAGAACAGCUGCUACUAUCACUGAGAUAAGUAUCUGUUUUGCUGAGGGUUCUGCUCAUGGCCCACCUGGCUACAGGUAGAGACACCCCGUUAGGUUGGGCUGGGUUUGUAAGAAAAGGUUCCUGACUAGCUGUGGUUUUGAAGGAGACACGGGCCCCAUUUUCAGGGGCUCAUGAUUUCUCUGGCCAGGAUCGGUGUGUCCUCGGCAGGACAAGGUUAGAUCUAUGAGGAUGACUCC
Molecule: long non-coding RNA, 778 nt
Organism: Mauremys reevesii (Reeves's turtle)
Lineage: Eukaryota; Metazoa; Chordata; Testudines; Geoemydidae
Exons: 3
Source: RefSeq, a predicted model, not a curated record